CUUCUGUAUCCAGUUCAUUUUGCAGGAGAAGAACCUGAGAUUGGCACGAUUAUGUCAGAGCUGUAACAGAAACCAAUGAGAAGCCAGGAGAUCUGGAGUCUUGGAGAGAAGUUUCCAAGUAGCACACCCCUGUUCUUCCCUCCCUUGCUUACGGGAUCCUCUUGGCCUGUCUUGUCUCUGCUCUCUCACUUAAGUCUCUUGAUUUAGUCUGUUCUUUUGACAGGGUGGAAAGGAUUAAAAUGUUUUGUUUUGGGUACUUAGUAUCAAACCCAGGAGCACUUAAACACCGACCGAGCCACACCUCCAGCCCUUUUUAUUUUUUAAAUUUUGAGACAAGGUCUUGCUCAGUUGCUUAGGAUCUUGCUAACUUGCUGAGGCUGGUUUUGAACUUGUGAUCCUCCUGCUUCAGCCAUCCUAGUUGUUGGGAUUACAGGAGUGUUCCACCAUGCCAGACUUAAAAUGUUUUUGCUCUAUCCUUUUAUUUUCACUGUUCUUAACUUUUAGAACUGAGACAUUUUAUUGCUAUCUAUAGCUUUCUCUGUAAAUACAUAACUACUGUGCAUAAAACAUAACAUGCAUACAUAAAUCUAAGUUGCUUUUUUCUUCUGAUAUAACUGAUUCUUCAUGAAGUGCUUGAGAAAAUAUUUAUCACUUCUUCCUAAUGGUGUAGUGAUAGCUCUCAUUCAGACUGGCUAUUCUUCGAGGCAGGGCGGCUUCCUAACUAGCUGUGUGUCUAAAACAAGAGAACCAUUCAUCAUAAAUUGCAGAUCCCUGGGUCACAUCUUUGCACUUUUUUAAAUUAAAAAUUACUUUUUCAUUGCUGGAACUUGAACCCAGGGCCUCCCACAUACUAGGCAAGACCUCUACAACUGAGAAACAUCCUCAGCCCCUGAUUUGAUAUUUUUAAGGUGAAUUCAUCAGGCUAUUCUGAUGUUAAGGCUAUACCUCAGGCUGUUCUGAUACAGAGGCAGGUGGUACACGCUAAGGCACACAGGCAUGAACAGAUUUACAAAGGUGCUUUAAUUACAGCUGAAGAUCAUUAUUAUUAAUGGGAGAGUUUUGCUUCUAGCAAAUGCUGUCUUCAAUUUACCAUUUGAUUUCUGUUUAUUCUAUCUCUGGCUUCCUGGUCAUUUCUGUUCUUUUAGAAAACAAAGUGACCUGAUCAACUCUAUUUGACAAGAUGUUCUGAGAGGUGACAGAGGACACCCUUGUAACCUGAGGAGGGGAAAAAAACUGUUGACCCCUGAAAUUCAUCAUAAGUUAAGAAUGCAUUGGGACUUUCUCUUUCUGAUCAUGAUUAAUUGAGAGCACUGCAAAUCUUCUGUGAAUUUCAUUCAGCAAACAUUUAUUGAAAGGCGACUGUGUUCAAUGUACCGGGCCUACAAAAUUGUGUUAAUCAUUGUCUCUUCUUCAUGAAGAUCACAGUUUAGUAGUGAAGAGGAAAAUUGUCCUCUCUCUGUUUACAUUUUGCUUCUGUUUUUUGUUUUCCCUACAAUGUUACUGUCAGCUGGCAUUCUUUGAAAUUCAUAUUAAAAUUAUAGUGUUGGAAGGAAAUGAAAGAAUUGAGGCCACAAUUACUCUUUCCCAUGCUAUUCCGGGAGAUUUAAAGAAAUGAAAAUGGGGAGCUGGUAACACUUCAAACAAAAUUACCUUAGCCUCUAAUGGCCAGCCUCACUCUCCUGUUAGGGUUAAUUUUGUCUAGCGGAUGUUAACCAUGGAGUGAACUAUUCUGAUUCCUCCAAAGGCUGCUGAACGAUCCAGGAUGCUUGUACAAUGAGGCACCUGUGGGUUGUUCUUUUUAAUUAAAAACUCCUUAAUGGGAUGGACUUUCCGGCAUUUAUUUGUUGUAAAUGCUAGAACUCGGUCUACCUCAUUUUCCAAAGUCCAAUUUGAAAAUUAUGUUUAAAAAUAGCCUCCUGGUUUGAGAACACAAUAAAAAAAUUCACAGCAGUCUCUGAAGGAUGGAUUUAUAGGUUAUUUAGAUUAGAGAGUAUGCAAAGUAUUUCUUCUAUGGUUGAUGUCUGCAAGUACCUAUAAAUUGGCUGGAAAUUACCUGGAAAGACAAACAAAGGUCAAACAGGGCCUGUCACAUUGGGAGACCUUAGGCCAUCAGAGCUGAGAAUGAGUUAGGACAGAAAGUCUUAUCAAUCCAAUGGAAUGAAUCCAGUGAAUCCUUAGGAAGGAUAGGUAGAGUAAUAUUCAAUUAAGCAAGGGCUACUCCCUGUGAUUUAUUUUAUUUUUAUUUUUUAGUUAGAUGCAAUAUCUUUAUUUUAUUUACUUUUAUGUGGUGCUGAGGAUCGAACCCAGGGCCUUGCACAUGCUAGGCGAGUCCUCUACCACUGAGCCACAACCGCAGCUCCUUCCUGUGAUUUUAAAGCAACCCCCUAACUUCUUAUUUCAACAAGAUCCAUGGUCCUUACCCCAAGGAGAGGGUGAGCAAAGAACCUUCCACAAAUCUGUUGUUAUUGAAGUUUCCUCUCCAUCAAAAUUCAAAGUACUGUUAUGUGUAACUAAUGAUAAAAAAAAGAAAAAAAAUCAAAUAGGAGGUGGCUAUUUGUAAUUAAGAACUAGUUAACAGAAAAUCGUUUGCAGCUCAUUUCUAACAUCAAUCCCUAUUUCUAGAUUGAAGAUUUAUAUAUUUUAAGGCUUCCAUUGACAACAUAUUAUCAAUUAUAGAAAAAAAUCAACUGAUUUGUUUGUCCUACCAACAUCUAUGACAGGCUAAGAAGCAUUGUAUCAACAAUAAUAUUAAGCUUCGUGUUGUCUUACUUUAUUUAUUCAUUUAUUCAUCCAACAUAGAUUUUUUUUAAAGUGCUUUCUAUGUGCUAGGACUGCCAGGUUCUGGGGUGUAGAGAAGAGACACAAUUUCUGCACUACUAAUGCUAAUAGCAGUUUAUUGAUGAAGGGGGACAUUAAGUUAAUAACUAAAAGAUAUAUUUAUUGCAAACCUUGCCAUGUAUUAUAUUAGGAUAAAAUAAAUUAUACUUUGGCCACAAACAAUCUCAACAUCUCAUUGCUUGCAACAAUAAAGAUGUAAUUCCUGUUCACAAAAAAGCGCACUGUGGAACCAUGUGACUCUCCAGGGCAGACAGCAAUUGUCCUCCAAGUGACAACUUAAUAUAUAUUUGGAAGGUAAAAGCAAGAGAAAAAUGGAGAUGUUGGAUAUGGGGGAUGAGGGAAGAGGUGGUGUCAAAAUUAUCAAAAUAUAAGGAUAAUGAUGCUAGUCACUAAAAUAUGAAAUGCCAUGAUUUGGGGCAGAUAGUAUGUAUGUAUUCUCUGUGUGUUUUAGGAGUUGGGUGUGAUUUUGAAGUUCCCUGAAGACACUCAAAUGGAGAUACUGGGUGGGCAUUUGAGGUUCCUCAGUGAUACCUAGCUGAAGAUGUAUGAGCUGGAAGUUAGGAGGAAUGGAGGGAAAUUAAAGGCAGAAGCAUGACUAAGACUUCUUUGGUGAUGGUGUAGAGUAAGAUGAGAAGAGGACAUGGAGCUGGAACUGAGGCUGA
This 3500-nucleotide long non-coding RNA is filed under the name Marmota monax (woodchuck). Lineage: Eukaryota; Metazoa; Chordata; Mammalia; Rodentia; Sciuridae. The record is from RNAcentral.